Lolium perenne is the source of this 604-nucleotide long non-coding RNA. RefSeq lists it as uncharacterized. NCBI's taxonomy places the organism in Eukaryota, Viridiplantae, Streptophyta, Magnoliopsida, Poales, Poaceae. The record is from RefSeq and is a predicted model, not a curated record.
UCCCUAGUGGUUCCUCUAAAGGGCCAUCCAAACACAUUUAGAUAGUUGUGAGGUCAAAAAACGCUCCCAGUGGCCUCUCUAUCCUGUCAUCUAAAUUUAGACGAGCUCUCAAAUCAUCGCUCCAUCCUCCAGAUAUAGAGGACCAAGCCACGACCAUCGAAGCCAAAUCGCUCGCCCGCGCUCUCCUUCCCGCGCGCACCUGGAGACCAGAAAAAGAGGCGGGAGCGCUCCCGCGAGGUCGCCGUCGCCGUCGCUCCACUCGCCGGCCAGCCAGAUAAAUGGAUAACUCACAGACGGAUGACAUUGGGUUUUUAGACAUGUUGAAUGGGGGAUCAGGUGAAGUGAAUUGGAGUGGCACACAAUAUUCUAGCCCAAUCAGUGAACAAGAGAAGAUGCCAACUCCGGAUGUUUCUCAUUGUUUCGCAUCCGCAUUUGCAAAAUCAAAACAAAAGAAGGCAAAAGCACCGUCGACGAAAGGGAAAAAUUGGUCUAGCGAUGAAGACAAGGUGUUGAUAGCGGCAUGGGGAAACACUAGUUUGGAUGCGGUGACCGGGACAGAUCAAAACUCAAGUUGUUAUUGGAAUAGGAUUUUAGAUUACUACAA